This 492-nucleotide ribosomal RNA is filed under the name uncultured bacterium. RNAcentral describes it as "partial 16S ribosomal RNA". It matches the Rfam family "Bacterial small subunit ribosomal RNA", at positions 29 to 507 of the family's 1533-position model. The record is from RNAcentral.
AGUGAACGCUGGCGGUAGGCCUAACACAUGCAAGUCGAACGGCAGCACAGUAAGAGCUUGCUCUUACGGGUGGCGAGUGGCGGACGGGUGAGGAAUACAUCGGAAUCUACUUUUUCGUGGGGGAUAACGUAGGGAAACUUACGCUAAUACCGCAUACGACCUACGGGUGAAAGCAGGGGAUCUUCGGACCUUGCGCGAUUGAAUGAGCCGAUGUCGGAUUAGCUAGUUGGCGGGGUAAAGGCCCACCAAGGCGACGAUCCGUAGCCGGUCUGAGAGGAUGGUCAGCCACCCUGGAAGUGAGACGCGGUCCAUACUCCUACGGGAGGCACCAGUCGGGAAUAUUGGACAAUGGGCGCGAGCCUGAUCCAGCCAUACCGCGUGGGUUAAGAAGGCCUUCGGGUUGUAAAGCCCUUUUGUUGGGAAAGAAAAGCAGCAGGUUAAUACCCCGCUGUUCUGACGGUACCCGAAGAAUAAGCACCGGCUAACUUCGUG